Molecule: ribosomal RNA, 253 nt
Filed under: uncultured bacterium
Lineage: Bacteria
Description: partial 16S ribosomal RNA
Rfam family: Bacterial small subunit ribosomal RNA
Source: RNAcentral
UACGUAGGACACGAGCGUUAUCCGGAGUUACUGGGCGUAAAGGGCGGGUAGGUGGUGCGAUAAGACUGGUGUGAAAGCCUUCGGCUUAACCGAGGGAGGACACUGGUGACUGUCGGACUUGAGGCAGAUAGAGGGGUGUAGAAUUCCGGGUGUAGUGGUGAAAUGCGUAGAGAUCCGGAGGAAUACCAGAGGCGAAGGCGGCACCCUGGGUCUGACCUGACACUGAUCCGCGACAGCAUGGGGAGCGAACGGG